This 764-nucleotide ribosomal RNA is filed under the name uncultured bacterium. RNAcentral describes it as "bacterial SSU rRNA". It matches the Rfam family "Bacterial small subunit ribosomal RNA", at positions 56 to 811 of the family's 1533-position model. The record is from RNAcentral.
UGCAGUCGAACGGAAUACCAUGAGUAGCAUACAAGUGGUGUUUAGUGGCGAAUGGGUGCGUAACACGUGGAUACAUUCCGGGAAGCGGGGGAUAGCCCAGGGAAACUUGGAUUAAUACCGCAUGUGAUCGAAAGAUCAAAGACGGGGACCGCAAGGCCUGUCACUUCCCGAUUGGUCCGCGGCCUAUCAGCUAGUUGGCGGGGUAAAAGCCCACCAAGGCGACGACGGGUAGCUGGUCUGAGAGGACGACCAGCCACACUGGAACUGAGACACGGUCCAGACACCUACGGGUGGCAGCAGUCGAGAAUCUUUCACAAUGGGGGCAACCCUGAUGGAGCGACGCCGCGUGGAGGAUAAGGUCUUCGGAUUGUAAACUCCUGUCAUGCGUGAACAAGAUUGCAGGGUUAAUAACCCGAGCAAGUUGAUGGUAACGCAAGAGGAAGAGACGGCUAACUCUGUGCCAGCAGCCGCGGUAAUACAGAGGUCUCAAGCGUUGUUCGGAAUCACUGGGCGUAAAGGGUGCGUAGGUGGCGUGGUAAGUCAGAUGUGAAAGCCCGGGGCUCAACCUCGGAAUUGCAUCCGAUACUACCAUGCUUGAGUACUGGAGAGGUGACUAGAAUUCUAGGUGUAGCAGUGAAAUGCGUAGAUAUCUAGAGGAAUACCAAAGGCGUAGGCAGGUCACUGGACAGUUACUGACACUGAGGCACGAAGGCCAGGGGAGCGAACGGGAUUAGAUACCCCGGUAGUCCUGGCAGUAAACGGUG